This 427-nucleotide ribosomal RNA is filed under the name uncultured Chlamydiales bacterium. RNAcentral's name for it is "partial 16S ribosomal RNA". It matches the Rfam family "Bacterial small subunit ribosomal RNA", at positions 355 to 774 of the family's 1533-position model. Lineage: Bacteria; Pseudomonadati; Chlamydiota; Chlamydiia; Chlamydiales. The record is from RNAcentral.
UCGAGGAUCAUUCGCAAUGGGCGAAAGCCUGACGAUGCGACGCUGUGUGAACGAUGAAGGCCUUCGGGUUGUAAAGUUCUUUCGCUUGGGAACAAGAGAGAUCGGUGAACAACCGGUCGAUUUGAGGGUACUAGGUAAAGAAGCACCGGCCAACUCCGUGCCAGCAGCUGCGGUAAUACGGAGGGUGCAAGCAUUAAUCGGAAUUAUUGGGCGUAAAGGGCGCGUAGGCGGAAAGAUAAGUCAGAUGUGAAAUUCCAAGGCUCAACUUUGGAGCUGCAUCUGAAACUAUAUUUCUAGAGGGUUGGCGGAGAAAAUGGAAUUCCACGUGUAGCGGUGAAAUGCGUAGAUAUGUGGAGGAACACCUGUGGCGAAAGCGGUUUUCUAGCUAGUACCUGACGCUGAGGCGCGAGAGCAAGGGGAGCAAACA